Molecule: long non-coding RNA, 574 nt
Organism: Dermacentor andersoni
Lineage: Eukaryota; Metazoa; Arthropoda; Arachnida; Ixodida; Ixodidae
Source: RefSeq, a predicted model, not a curated record
CAUUAGCAUCAGCAUGGAACGUGUGACGAAGACGACGGGCGGAGUUCAGCUGCAGGUCCAGUAGCGUGUCCGCAAACCGUCGACUUCCAACGUAACUACACGGUGGCCAGCGGCUGUCGACGGCGCCAAAUUGGCGUUCGGCAUAGCAGCAGGGGAGACAGGCUGCCAAGUACACUGCGGGAACGCAGUCGAAUUCGGGAAGCUUCUUCGGAAUAGACCGUGAGACGAGAUGUUUCUCCUGUCCCUUUGUUCUAUGUUCCUUGGAGCAUGGUUACUUGUGGAGGCGACGAAGUGGCUUCUGGACUUCGCGGGAUUCGGACCGAUGGGAGUGAAACCGCACAGUCUUGCAGCCGCGUGGCACGCUGCAAAUCAUGGUCGGAUCAGGAAGAACAGCCAAUUCGCCAACCUGCAACGUUUGGGAAUGAGAGGGCUGCCUACCCCGUCGAAGAUAGUUCUGGCUAGCGGCGGAGCAUUCAUUGGAUUCAGACUCGUACGAUAAAUGUCGGGCAGGCUCCGUCGAAAUCACCUGCACGUGGAGCGCUGUGCGCAAUAAAAUUCCAGUAGAUGCCUCGCU